CAGCCACAUCACAUUGAAACACCUGUUCCCGCACGAUCACCGAAGUUAAGCAACAUCGAGCCUGAUCAGUACCUAGAUGGCUGAACGCUUGGGAGUACCAAGUGAUGUAA
Non-coding RNA from Acanthosepion pharaonis, 110 nucleotides. Lineage: Eukaryota; Metazoa; Mollusca; Cephalopoda; Sepiida; Sepiidae. The record is from the annotation of a GenBank genome assembly.